UUAUUUAAUUUUUUUUUCUUAUUUAAUUUUUUUUUUCGUUUUUCGUUUUUUUUUGUUUUCCGUUUUUCUUUUUUUCGUUUUUUUUUUCUUUUCUUUUUUUUUUCUUUUCAUUUUCUUUUGUUUUUUUUGUUUUUUGUUUUUAGUUUGCAUAACACGUUGGCCUCGCCUAGCGAGCAUGACAACUCAUGAACAAACCUUUGCUCCUUCAAGAUUAACGUUUUGACUGACGAAUAGACCCCUAUUGGAAGUAACUCAAGUCUUUCCCUUGUGUUGACUGAUCAUCUAAAUAGAACCCACAAAGUGUCCUGGAUGAUGUUCAAGCUUCUUGGAGCUAAU
Molecule: long non-coding RNA, 336 nt
Filed under: Lathyrus oleraceus (garden pea)
Lineage: Eukaryota; Viridiplantae; Streptophyta; Magnoliopsida; Fabales; Fabaceae
Description: Pisum sativum (pea) long non-coding RNA (PSAT_LNC020775)
Source: RNAcentral